RNAcentral lists this transfer RNA (66 nucleotides) under Rhodinia fugax. Its description in RNAcentral is "tRNA-Met". The record is from RNAcentral. Lineage: Eukaryota; Metazoa; Arthropoda; Insecta; Lepidoptera; Saturniidae.
UUAAAAAUAAGCUAAAAUAAGCUUUUGGGCUCAUACCUCAAAUAUAAAGAUUUCCUUUUUUUUAAA